This 253-nucleotide ribosomal RNA is filed under the name uncultured bacterium. Its description in RNAcentral is "partial 16S ribosomal RNA". It matches the Rfam family "Bacterial small subunit ribosomal RNA", at positions 524 to 776 of the family's 1533-position model. The record is from RNAcentral.
UACGGGGGGGGCAAGCGUUGUUCGGAAUUACUGGGCGUAAAGGGUUCGUAGGCGGCCAACUAAGUCAGACGUGAAAUCCCUCGGCUUAACCGGGGAACUGCGUCUGAUACUGGAUGGCUUGAGGUUGGGAGAGGGAUGCGGAAUUCCAGGUGUAGCGGUGAAAUGCGUAGAUAUCUGGAGGAACACCGGUGGCGAAGGCGGCAUCCUGGACCAAUUCUGACGCUGAGGAGCGAAAGCCAGGGGAGCAAACGGG